RNAcentral lists this ribosomal RNA (445 nucleotides) under uncultured bacterium. RNAcentral's name for it is "partial 16S ribosomal RNA". It matches the Rfam family "Bacterial small subunit ribosomal RNA", at positions 355 to 817 of the family's 1533-position model. The record is from RNAcentral.
UGGGGAAUAUUGGACAAUGGGGGCAACCCUGAUCCAGCAAUGCCGCGUGUGUGAAGAAGGUCUUCGGAUUGUAAAGCACUUUCGACGGGGACGAUGAUGACGGUACCCGUAGAAGAAGCCCCGGCUAACUUCGUGCCAGCAGCCGCGGUAAUACGAAGGGGGCUAGCGUUGCUCGGAAUGACUGGGCGUAAAGGGCGUGUAGGCGGUUUACACAGUCAGAUGUGAAAUCCCCGGGCUUAACCUGGGAGCUGCAUUUGAUACGUGUAGACUAGAGUGUGAGAGAGGGUUGUGGAAUUCCCAGUGUAGAGGUGAAAUUCGUAGAUAUUGGGAAGAACACCGGUGGCGAAGGCGGCAACCUGGCUCAUGACUGACGCUGAGGCGCGAAAGCGUGGGGAGCAAACAGGAUUAGAUACCCUGGUAGUCCACGCUGUAAACGAUGUGUGCU